This 471-nucleotide ribosomal RNA is filed under the name uncultured bacterium. RNAcentral describes it as "bacterial SSU rRNA". It matches the Rfam family "Bacterial small subunit ribosomal RNA", at positions 28 to 488 of the family's 1533-position model. The record is from RNAcentral.
GAUGAACGCUAGCUACAGGCUUAACACAUGCAAGUCGAGGGGCAGCAUGGUCUUAGCUUGCUAAGGCCGAUGGCGACCGGCGCACGGGUGAGUAACACGUAUCCAACCUGCCGUCUACUCUUGGACAGCCUUCUGAAAGGAAGAUUAAUACAAGAUGGCAUCAUGAGUUCACAUGUUCACAUGAUUAAAGGUAUUCCGGUAGACGAUGGGGAUGCGUUCCAUUAGAUAGUAGGCGGGGUAACGGCCCACCUAGUCUUCGAUGGAUAGGGGUUCUGAGAGGAAGGUCCCCCACAUUGGAACUGAGACACGGUCCAAACUCCUACGGGAGGCAGCAGUGAGGAAUAUUGGUCAAUGGGCGCAGGCCUGAACCAGCCAAGUAGCGUGAAGGAUGACUGCCCUAUGGGUUGUAAACUUCUUUUAUAAAGGAAUAAAGUCGGGUAUGUAUACCCGUUUGCAUGUACUUUAUGAAUA